Cryptotermes secundus is the source of this 694-nucleotide RNA transcript. RefSeq lists it as uncharacterized. The transcript has 4 exons. NCBI's taxonomy places the organism in Eukaryota, Metazoa, Arthropoda, Insecta, Blattodea, Kalotermitidae. The record is from RefSeq and is a predicted model, not a curated record.
CAGGUGUCACGAGGACUGGUUGAAUUGAAUCCACUUGAAGUGCACUGCGACGGCAGUUGUGUUAUACAAUGAAAACAUCGCAGAAGGCCUGCUGCUUGUCGCAACAGGAGUCAGAUGGUGUUAGUGUUUCACCCAGAUAGGGAACGUGAAGUUUCAGUGAGCUGUUCUGUUUGGAAAGCAAGAACAGAGAACACAUCAAGAGAAGAACUUAUCUUGUUUGAAGUAAGAUAGGCAUCUGUGCAUUCGAAGAUCAUGUACACAAGGAAAUGUAGCAGUCUCUUCCUCGAUGAUCCUCUUCAUAACGCUGGUGGCAAGCGUCCUCAUGGUGUGCUUUGUGUUCACUUGUUACCGGUUCGUCAGUAUCUUGUUUCCGAAGGAACAUCGCAGAGACAUCUUUGUCGCUGAUAAUCGGACCGCUCUCCGAAGACAUACAAACACAAGCUGGCCGAUGACAGCACCGAAACAGCGACAAUGGGAACCUCCACCCGCUUACAAAGACAAUGGACCACCGCCGCCCUAUUCGUUAGUGGUGAACGGUCCAGGGAUACAGCAACCGAGGACUGGGGCCUUGUCAUCAGAAACUACAUUAGCGAUGUAGCGAAUACGUAGUAUAAGUGAACCCAUAAUGUUAGGGACUUGCUUCGGAUUCCAAAUAGCAUUGUCCACGCAGUUAAAUAAAAUAGAAUGGCCUAUU